GAAAUUGAUCUCCCCGUGCAGAAGCGGGGAUACCGACAUAAGACGAGAAGACCCUAUGGAGCUUUAGACACAAUGGUGGAUCAUGUUAAGAACCCUCUACCAAGAGGUAAAACCCAUUGAAACCUGCCCUGAUGUCUUUGGUUGGGGCGACCGCGGGGAACCAAAUAACCCCCGAGUGGAGCAAGAGUACUACACUCUCAAACCCGAGAGCCACAGCUCUAAGCAACANNAUUUCUGACCUUACAGAUCCGGCACAGCCGAUUAACGGACAGAGUUACCCUAGGGAUAACAGCGCAAUUCCCUUCUAGAGCCCAUAUCGACAAGGGGGUUUACGACCUCGAUGUUGGAUCAGGACAUCCUAAUGGUGCAGGCCGCUAUUAAGGGUUCGUUUG
RNAcentral lists this ribosomal RNA (392 nucleotides) under Megupsilon aporus. RNAcentral describes it as "partial 16S ribosomal RNA". It matches the Rfam family "Bacterial large subunit ribosomal RNA", at positions 2038 to 2579 of the family's 2925-position model. The record is from RNAcentral. Lineage: Eukaryota; Metazoa; Chordata; Actinopteri; Cyprinodontiformes; Cyprinodontidae.